UAAAUGGAAACCAAGAAGAACCUAUGCUCUA
RNAcentral lists this non-coding RNA (31 nucleotides) under Rattus norvegicus (Norway rat). Lineage: Eukaryota; Metazoa; Chordata; Mammalia; Rodentia; Muridae. The record is from RNAcentral.